AGACAUGAAUGUCUAAGUCCAAGCUGUGUGUUUGUGGGUGAAAGCUCGCGCACACGGCGAAACCGCGGACGGCUCAUUAAAUCAGUUGUGGUCCGAAUGGGCUAGUGUUAUCUUACUUGGAUAACUGUGGUAAUUCCAGAGCUAAUACAUGCAACUUAUAGUCUUAGUGGCGCGGGCUUCGCGGCUCGCGUUGCGACGACUUCUUUUAUUAGACCAAACCGCUGAGGGAUAGAGAUGGAGUUCUCUCUCUAUCUGUCCCGUAGACUCGUGUAAUGGUGACUCUGGAUAACCCUCUAUGACAAGCGCACGUAUCCAUUAAUUUGGGACGGCGCUUCCUCUUACGAGUGUCUGCCUUAUCAGCUAUGUAUCGUUCGUUAUGCGCUAACGAUGGCGUUGACGGGUAACGGGGAAUCAGUGUUCGAUUCCGGAGAGGCAGCCUGAGAAACGGCUACCACGUCCAAGGACGGCAGCAGGCACGCAAAUUACCCAAUUCCAGCUACUUGGGGAGGUAGUGACGGAAUCUAACGAUGCGGGCGCUCCAUCUGGGGCCCCGCAAUCGGAAUGAGCAUUUUCUUUCUAAACACCCUGUUGAGAACCCACUGAAGGGCAAGUCUGGUGCCAGCAGCCGCGGUAAUUCCAGCUUCAGCAGCAUCUAUUAAAGUUGCUGCGGUUAAAAGGCUCGCAGUUGAAUGUCAGUACACAGCGUAGCGAUGGUGGACGUUGGGGUGUGGGAGAGUUCUCUCGUUGUGCGGCGGUGUGCAUAUUCGUUCGCUUCGGCGUUCGUUUGCCAUUACUGAGUUGCUUUCGAGUGUGUUCUCUCUCCAUCCAUAGCCCCCGUCCGUAAACAGCCUCCUCGCUUGCGUACAAAAUGGAAUCUGAUCGUUUUUCAGAGUCAUACGGCUUGGUUACUGUUCAGCUUGCUAUACCAGCGCAAGCUGGUACGCUUCUGAUAUGGUGAUUGAGUCUGUGGCUCACAGAACUUGGUUCCAAGGUUACCUUGAGUAAAUUGGAGUGCUCAAAGCAGUCGUAAGGAACGUGCGGCUCGCGCCGUGCGUUCUGCGAAGAAUGUCUAUGACAGACAGUCUUGGUUUUGCAUGGUAUGUCGAAAGACGCCGUAUCCUGUUGGUAACGAGUCUAGUGCGGGCUUGCACUUGAGGAGGGGAGAGAAGAGUUAGUUUUAUCGCUGGCUCUUUUUCUAUCUCUGUCUCCAAUAGUGUGACACACGGGACCAACAGGUGCGGAAUGAUUAAAAGGGUCGGUCGAAGGCAACGGUAUUGCGAGGCGAGAGGUGAAAUUCUAUGACCCCCGCAAGACCUCCUGAAGCGAAAGCGUCUGCCAAGGACGUUGGAGCCUGCGGCUUAUUUGACUCAACACGGGCCAUCUCACCAGGCCAGCACUCUUGUAUGAUUGACAGAUUGAUAGUUCUUUCUCGAUUAAGUGGAUGGUGGUGCAUGGCCGUUCUUAGUUGGUGGAGUGAUCUGUCUGGUUAAUUCCGAUAACGAACGAGACUCUCCCCUGCUAACUAGUCGGUUGGAUCUUGCGUCUGGAGAGUUGUGUCUUCACUCGCUCGUGCCCACGUUUAUGUUAGCCUUGGUGCGCUGCAGCUUGUGUGUGCUUGUGUAGUUUAAUCGCUGCGCUCGCGUGCCCCUGUCUCUGGUGUGCUCUCGGUGAGCUUGCGUGUGGUGUCGUUGUUUGUGUAACACACUCCAAGUCCGCCGCUUAUUCAAGGUAUGCAAUGCUUAACGGUAAAGUUAUAUGUGAGUAAAACUCUUCUUAGAGGGAUUCACGGUUCUGAAACCGUAAGAAACUGAGAGCAAUAACAGGUCUGUGAUGCCCUUAGAUGUUCUGGGCCGCACGCGCGCUACAAUGCCGGGUUCAACAGGUAUAUAUCCUUCUCCGAGAGGAGUGGGUAAUCCUUUGAAAGCCCAUCAAACAAUAUUCAAAGGGAUACACUUGUCAAUGGCUAGUGUAUUCUCUUCCAUAGCUUGCUUGGGCCUGGGGCUUGCAAUUCUUUCCCACAAACGAGGAAUGCCUAGUAGCGGCGGAUCACUGAGUUUGCCGUGACUCAGUCCCUGCCCUUUGUACACACCGCCCGUCGCUACUACCGAUUGGGUGUACCAGUGAGAUCUUUGGACUGGCGAGCCUCGUGCUCUUCAUUGAGCGCGAGUGUGUACGACGGGAAGAGGCUCGAACUGGUGCACUUAGAGGAGUAAAGUCGUAACAGGUUCC
This 2229-nucleotide ribosomal RNA is filed under the name Epimeria loricata. RNAcentral describes it as "partial 18S ribosomal RNA". It matches the Rfam family "Eukaryotic small subunit ribosomal RNA". The record is from RNAcentral. Lineage: Eukaryota; Metazoa; Arthropoda; Malacostraca; Amphipoda; Epimeriidae.